AGAGUUUGAUCCUGGCUCAGGACGAACGCUGGCGGCGCGCUUAACACAUGCAAGUCGAGCGAGAACCGGCCUUCGGGCCGGGGAAAGCGGCGAACGGGUGAGCAACACGUGGGUAACCUGCCCCGAUGAUUGGGACAACCCGAGGAAACUCGGGCUAAUACCGAAUGUGCCCUCCGGCCGUAAGGCCUCUGGGGAAAGGAAGCUUCGGCCUCCGCAUCGGGAUGGGCCCGCGGCCCAUUAGCUUGUUGGUGAGGUAACGGCUCACCAAGGCUACGAUGGGUAGCUGGUCUGAGAGGACGAUCAGCCACACUGGGACUGAGACACGGCCCAGACUCCUACGGGAGGCAGCAGUGGGGAAUCUUGCGCAAUGCGCGAAAGCGUGACGCAGCAACGCCGCGUGGGGGAAGAAGGCCUUCGGGUUGUAAACCCCUUUCAGUUGGGACGAAGCUUCGGCGGUGAAUAGCCGCCUGGAGUGACGGUACCUUCAGAAGAAGCCCCGGCUAACUACGUGCCAGCAGCCGCGGUAAUACGUAGGGGGCAAGCGUUGUCCGGAAUCAUUGGGCGUAAAGAGCGUGUAGGCGGCUUGGUAAGUCCGCUGUGAAAGUCCAGGGCUCAACCCUGGAAAGCCGGUGGAAACUGUCAAGCUCGAGUCCGGAAGAGGCGAGUGGAAUUCCUGGUGUAGCGGUGAAAUGCGCAGAUAUCAGGAGGAACACCAAUGGCGANNNCAGCUCGCUGGGACGGUACUGACGCUGAGACGCGAAAGCGUGGGGAGCAAACANNA
RNAcentral lists this ribosomal RNA (781 nucleotides) under uncultured bacterium. Its description in RNAcentral is "bacterial SSU rRNA". It matches the Rfam family "Bacterial small subunit ribosomal RNA", at positions 8 to 777 of the family's 1533-position model. The record is from RNAcentral.